RNAcentral lists this ribosomal RNA (1062 nucleotides) under Microbacterium sp. 5_46. Its description in RNAcentral is "bacterial SSU rRNA". It matches the Rfam family "Bacterial small subunit ribosomal RNA", at positions 59 to 1132 of the family's 1533-position model. Lineage: Bacteria; Bacillati; Actinomycetota; Actinomycetes; Micrococcales; Microbacteriaceae. The record is from RNAcentral.
AAGUCGAACGGUGAAGCCCAGCUUGCUGGGUGGAUCAGUGGCGAACGGGUGAGUAACACGUGAGCAACCUGCCCCUGACUCUGGGAUAAGCGCUGGAAACGGCGUCUAAUACUGGAUACGAACCACAGUCGCAUGGCUCGUGGUUGGAAAGAUUUUUUGGUUGGGGAUGGGCUCGCGGCCUAUCAGCUUGUUGGUGAGGUAAUGGCUCACCAAGGCGUCGACGGGUAGCCGGCCUGAGAGGGUGACCGGCCACACUGGGACUGAGACACGGCCCAGACUCCUACGGGAGGCAGCAGUGGGGAAUAUUGCACAAUGGGCGCAAGCCUGAUGCAGCAACGCCGCGUGAGGGAUGACGGCCUUCGGGUUGUAAACCUCUUUUAGCAAGGAAGAAGCGAAAGUGACGGUACUUGCAGAAAAAGCGCCGGCUAACUACGUGCCAGCAGCCGCGGUAAUACGUAGGGCGCAAGCGUUAUCCGGAAUUAUUGGGCGUAAAGAGCUCGUAGGCGGUUUGUCGCGUCUGCUGUGAAAUCCCGAGGCUCAACCUCGGGCCUGCAGUGGGUACGGGCAGACUAGAGUGCGGUAGGGGAGAUUGGAAUUCCUGGUGUAGCGGUGGAAUGCGCAGAUAUCAGGAGGAACACCGAUGGCGAAGGCAGAUCUCUGGGCCGUAACUGACGCUGAGGAGCGAAAGGGUGGGGAGCAAACAGGCUUAGAUACCCUGGUAGUCCACCCCGUAAACGUUGGGAACUAGUUGUGGGGUCCUUUCCACGGAUUCCGUGACGCAGCUAACGCAUUAAGUUCCCCGCCUGGGGAGUACGGCCGCAAGGCUAAAACUCAAAGGAAUUGACGGGGACCCGCACAAGCGGCGGAGCAUGCGGAUUAAUUCGAUGCAACGCGAAGAACCUUACCAAGGCUUGACAUACACGAGAACACCCUAGAAAUAGGGGACUCUUUGGACACUCGUGAACAGGUGGUGCAUGGUUGUCGUCAGCUCGUGUCGUGAGAUGUUGGGUUAAGUCCCGCAACGAGCGCAACCCUCGUUCUAUGUUGCCAGCACGUAAUGGU